GUGGUAGCUCAGCGGUAGAGCGAUCGCCUGUUAAGCGAUUGGUCGUAG
This 48-nucleotide transfer RNA is filed under the name Candidatus Nomurabacteria bacterium RIFOXYB1_FULL_36_10. Its description in RNAcentral is "tRNA-Asn". It matches the Rfam family "tRNA", at positions 7 to 50 of the family's 71-position model. From Rfam's summary of the family: Transfer RNA (tRNA) molecules are approximately 80 nucleotides in length. Their secondary structure includes four short double-helical elements and three loops (D, anti-codon, and T loops). Further hydrogen bonds mediate the characteristic L-shaped molecular structure. tRNAs have two regions of fundamental functional importance: the anti-codon, which is responsible for specific mRNA codon recognition, and the 3' end, to which the tRNAs corresponding amino acid is attached (by aminoacyl-tRNA synthetases). tRNAs cope with the degeneracy of the genetic code in two manners: having more than one tRNA (with a specific anti-codon) for a particular amino acid; and 'wobble' base-pairing, i.e. permitting non-standard base-pairing at the 3rd anti-codon position. Lineage: Bacteria; Candidatus Nomuraibacteriota. The record is from RNAcentral.